GCCCCUGUAGAUCAUGGUGAUCACCGGCGAGAAAUGGCACUCUGAUUCACAACUUACGCAGGUGUUGUUGCGGGUUCGACUCCCACCAGGGGCA
Non-coding RNA from Mycena maculata, 94 nucleotides. The record is from the annotation of a GenBank genome assembly. Lineage: Eukaryota; Fungi; Basidiomycota; Agaricomycetes; Agaricales; Mycenaceae.